Molecule: ribosomal RNA, 253 nt
Filed under: uncultured bacterium
Lineage: Bacteria
Description: partial 16S ribosomal RNA
Rfam family: Bacterial small subunit ribosomal RNA
Source: RNAcentral
UACAUGGGGUGCAAACGUUGCUCGGAAUUAUUGGGCGUAAAGCGCGCGUAGGCGGUUACUUAAGUCGGAUGUUAAAGCCCUCGGCUUAACUGAGGAAGUGCACCCGAAACUGAGUAGCUAGAGUACGAAAGAGGGUCGCGGAAUUCCCGGUGUAGAGGUGAAAUUCGUAGAUAUCGGGAGGAACACCGGUGGCGAAGGCGGCGACCUGGGUCGAGACUGACGCUGAGGCGCGAAAGCGUGGGGAGCAAACAGG